RNAcentral lists this ribosomal RNA (775 nucleotides) under Psora decipiens. RNAcentral describes it as "SSU rRNA". It matches the Rfam family "Bacterial small subunit ribosomal RNA", at positions 401 to 1214 of the family's 1533-position model. Lineage: Eukaryota; Fungi; Ascomycota; Lecanoromycetes; Lecanorales; Psoraceae. The record is from RNAcentral.
UUGGAGGAUGUAUAGCGAUAGCUAAUUGCAUCGAAAAUAUGAUGCAAGAUCGAUUUAUUGAAUAAAAUUCUGGGUAGAAUUAUGAUUAUGACAUUGUCUACCCAUGUGUCUUGACCAAAUUACGUGCCAGCAGUCGCGGUAAUACGUAGAAGACUAGUGUUAUUCAUCUUUAAUAGGUUUAAAGGGUACCUAGACGGUAAAUCAAGCCCUAGACGGGACUAAUUUGCUAGAGUUACUUGUGAGGGGGUUUUAAAGUACUAAUGGUGUAGAGAUGAAAUUUUGUAAUACCAUUUUUCGAAAGGAAAGUAAUGGCACAGGUAUAGGCGAAAGCAUCCCCUUAUGUGAUAACUGACGUUGAAGGACGAAGGCUUUGAGUCGCGAACAGGAUUAGAUACCCUGGUAGUCAAAGCAGAAAAUAAUGAGUGUCAUAGAUUAGAUAUUAAAGUUUAUUCUAUAAAUGAAAGUGUAAGCACUCCACCUCAAGAGUAAUUUGGCAACAUUGGAACUGAAAUCAUUAGACCGUUUCUGAAACCAGUAGUGAAGUAUGUUGUUUAAUUUGAUAAUCCGCAAAAAACCUUACCACAAUUUGAAUAUUUAUAUCGUUGAUAUAAUUACAAGCGUUGCACGGCUGUCUUCAGUUAAUGUCGUGAGAUUUUGGUUAGAUCCAUUAAAUUAACGCAAGCCCUUACUUUAUUUUAAAAUAAAGUCGUUCCCCACUAGAUUGGAUAAGAUAACAGGGAUUAAGACAAGUCAUCAUGGCCUGAAUAUUGUGGGC